Molecule: non-coding RNA, 352 nt
Organism: Camellia sinensis
Lineage: Eukaryota; Viridiplantae; Streptophyta; Magnoliopsida; Ericales; Theaceae
Source: RefSeq, a predicted model, not a curated record
CGGAAUGGUAACAUUGUUCCUCUUACUUUUGUUGACUGGAACAGUGUGUCUGAUGAUAUUAUUGAUGCUAUCUGGAAGGAUGUGAAGGACAAUUUGAAUAUAUGUCCAGAGGAGUACAAGCCAAUCUACAUGAAAAACUGCAACAGCAUAUGGAUGGAUCACAAGAACAAGCUUAAGGCAAAGUAUUUCAAGCCUAGAAGUUCUGAUCCUAAUCUGAAGGAUGAUGUUCCUAUGCACAUUGUGCCAUGCUAGUGGGAAGAACUUGUGGAGUAUUGGCGUACUUCCGAUGCUGAGAAAAUUGCAAGUAGGAACGCUAAAAAUCGGCGAGCUCACGGCAUAGCUCAUACCACAG